CCUACGGGAGACAGCAGUGGGGAAUAUUGCACAAUGGGGGAAACCCUGAUGCAGCGACGCCGCGUGAGUGAAGAAGUAAUUCGUUAUGUAAAGCUCUAUCAGCAGGGAAGAAAAUGACGGUACCUGAGUCAGAAGCCCCGGCUAACUACGUGCCAGCAGCCGCGGUAAUACGUAGGGGGCAAGCGUUAUCCGGAUUUUCUGGGUGUAAAGGGAGCGUAGACGGCAGUGCAAGUCUGGAGUGAAAGGCGGGGGCUCAACCCCCGGACGGCUCUGGAAACUGUACGGCUGGAGUGCAGGAGAGGUAAGUGGAAUUCCUAGUGUAGCGGUGAAAUGCGUAGAUAUUAGGAGGAACACCAGUGGCGAAGGCGGCUUACUGGACUGUAACUGACGUUGAGGCUCGAAAGCGUGGGGAGCAAACAGGAUUAGAUACCCUGGUAGUC
This 440-nucleotide ribosomal RNA is filed under the name uncultured bacterium. Its description in RNAcentral is "partial 16S ribosomal RNA". It matches the Rfam family "Bacterial small subunit ribosomal RNA", at positions 338 to 795 of the family's 1533-position model. The record is from RNAcentral.